Molecule: ribosomal RNA, 253 nt
Filed under: uncultured bacterium
Lineage: Bacteria
Description: partial 16S ribosomal RNA
Rfam family: Bacterial small subunit ribosomal RNA
Source: RNAcentral
UACAGAGGGGGCAAGCGUUGUCCGGAUUUAUUGGGCGUAAAGAGCGUGUAGGCGGCCAGGUAGGUCUGCUGUGAAAACUCGAGGCUCAACCUCGAGACGUCGGCGGAAACCAUCUGGCUAGAGUCCGGAAGAGGAGAGUGGAAUUCCUGGUGUAGCGGUGAAAUGCGCAGAUAUCAGGAAGAACACCCGUGGCGAAGGCGGCUCUCUGGGACGGUACUGACGCUGAGACGCGAAAGCGUGGGGAGCGAACAGG